UACGUAGGUCCCGAGCGUUGUCCGGAUUUAUUGGGCGUAAAGCGAGCGGAGGUGGUUUAUUAAGUCUGGUGUAAAAGGCAGUGGCUCAACCAUUGUAUGCAUUGGAAACUGGUAGACUUGAGUGCAGGAGAGGAGAGUGGAAUUCCAUGUGUAGCGGUGAAAUGCGUAGAUAUAUGGAGGAACACCGGUGGCGAAAGCGGCUCUCUGGCCUGUAACUGACACUGAGGCUCGAAAGCGUGGGGAGCAAACAGG
RNAcentral lists this ribosomal RNA (252 nucleotides) under uncultured bacterium. Its description in RNAcentral is "partial 16S ribosomal RNA". It matches the Rfam family "Bacterial small subunit ribosomal RNA", at positions 524 to 776 of the family's 1533-position model. The record is from RNAcentral.